AAAGCUGGGGCUCCGACGCCGUGCCAGGGGCUGUAGCUCAUAUUGCUCUGAGCAGGACCCGGGCAUCCCUCCCACUGACCCUGGUCGUGGGCGGCCUGCCUUCUCCCCACCAGGGUCCCCAGUACCAGCAUCCCAUGGCAGGUGGGCACAGGGCCAGAGGAUCUGCCCACAGUUCUUCUCUGGCCCGAAGAAACAGCAGAGAGAUUGGAAGAAGAAGCUGGCAAAGCCACAACUGACGCAUUUGACCAUCAUGAGGAUGAUGCCCAGCUUGCGAUAGAGCAGCACUGUGGCAGGCAGCAUGAGCACGCCUGCCGCAAACAGGGCUGCAGCCCCCACGGCUGUGGCGCAGCUGGUCUGGCGCAGAGAGAAGGCCAGCGCCAAAGCCAGGCCCAGCACCACAGCAGGCUCAGUGCUCAGGCUGUGCUGCAGGCUAUACAGCUCUAGACGGCUAGUGAACCAACCACGGCGGAGGCCUGGAGGUGCCAUGCCCAGCUCCGCUGCCAGCCAGUGGCUGACCUCAUUGUAGAAGAGCUGGGUCUGGUUGUAGUCCGGACUGUUCCGGAAGUUGGUCUGGAAUUGUAGGACCAGGGCGGCCAGGCUGCCAUGGG
RNAcentral lists this long non-coding RNA (608 nucleotides) under Homo sapiens (human). RNAcentral's name for it is "HSALNT0218998". Lineage: Eukaryota; Metazoa; Chordata; Mammalia; Primates; Hominidae. The record is from RNAcentral.